GGCCCGCCAAAGCAAGAACAAAGGAAGAAAAGGAAGAACAAAACCCUAGGUGGAAAAAUUCAAGGAAAAAGUGUGAAAAUUCAAGGAAACAAGUGAAAAAAAGGUAAGAUUUUUCAAUUAAGCUUGAGAUCUCUCUUUCUUAAGCAUUUUUUUCUUAUUUUCCAUGGUUGAAUCACAUGAAAUCAUGAUGGGUUUCUUGCUAGCCAAACACUUAGAGAGAGAUUUUGAUGGUCAAUUUGGUUAGAUUUUAAGAUAUUCUAGUGUUUUUAGUUGAUUGGUGAUGUGUAGCAUGAAAAUCAAGCAAGAAAAAUUCAUAUUCUCCCAUUACCCAUCAUUGGCCGAAUUCUCUAUGUAGAAUAUUGAUGAUGAUUUUGAUUUUAUUUCAAGUGAUUUGGUUAGGAAUUAGUGAUUUAUGGUGUGAGAAUCAAGCUUGAAAAAUUAUAGUGUUGAUGCACCCACCAUGGCCGAAGUUUCCAAAAGAAAAUGUGAGGAUGAUUUUGCCAUAUUUCAAGUUAUUUAAUUUGUGUUUGAUGAUUUGGAGAAUUGGAAGAAAAAUGGAAUUAUUUGGAGUUGAAUUGGACAUAUUGGCCAAUUAAUUGGGUGAUAGAUCAAAUUAGGCCAAUACCGUUUUAUUUAGGUACACAAUUGAAUUUGUGUAGAACACUGUAUUUAGAUAGUUACCCGAGUAUUUCACAUCCCAUUUCAUGCAUUAGUAUAGAGCCUGAAUUGGUUUUAUAACAAUUUAGCACAAAUGUAGUAAAUGGCUUGUUGUGCAUUAUGUCUAGGCGGUGAGCAUUCAGGCAAAAGUAAAGAGAUAGUACCCGAGGAUCAAGAAUCGGAGUACUCAAAAUUCGACUCCCAAAAUAGUGAGUAACCUUAUUAUCGUCUUAAUUAUCUAAAGUGGUUUUUAUCUGAUUUUGUGAUUUUAUGGAAAAUGAGUUUAAAUGGUAAAUCUUUAUGUUUUAUAAACAAAAUGUGUUUAAUGAAAUGAUUUUAUAAAUUGUCUUGAAAUUGAAUGAUGGCUUUGAAAAUAAAGCAAUUGGAGACCAUUUGAUGUAUUGUGAAUUUAUGGUUCUAAUUGAUUGGCUGAUGGCAAUAUUGGCAUGAAUGGCUGAAUUGGUAUUUGUGUUGAAAAUGUAUAAACUAUUAUUUGCCUUGAUAGGCUGGAUAAUGAUAAAAUUGCCAUGUCAUGCUGUUAAAUUUUAUUGAAUUGGUGGGUUAUUGAUUAGUCGUUGUAGUGGACGAGUUCCGUGGACCAGCCUAUUUAGAAGGGGCACGGUAACCUUAUUAUAUUCAUACCUCAGUAUGAGAGGCGCGGAUGGAUAACUCCUGAGGUUAACACUUGAGAGUUCACUUCACGCCAAACGACCACGUGAGGGUGAACUCAGCCAACGCCAAGGAAUGACUAUGUUUUCAAAAUAUAAACAUGAUUUAUGCGUACAUAACUUUUUAUCAUCCUUGGCGGACUCAGUUGGGAUAGCCCUCGGCCAAGGUAUCCUUGAUAACUGAGUAUGAGAAUGAUUUUGGCACGAGCCAAAGUUUUAAGAAAUUCAUAAGCCAUGUUGAUUACUCGAUUUAUAUGAAUUGAUUUUAUUUGGUUGAAAUGAGUUGAAAGGUGAUGAAUUACAGUAUGUUAAACUAUUUUAUCUAUCUCCAUUUACUCAGCUUUAGAUAUUUUAGAUGGUAUUUGUUUACUCACUGGGAUUAUAUAAUCUCACCACCCUCCUUUCCACCCAUUUCAGGCUCAGGAUAGUCGGUAAAUAGUUCAUUUCGUUGAGGGCUAUAGUUGGACUUGCAUCCUCAAAAACUGUAGGUUUACCGCUUUUGAUACUUUUGAUUAUUCGUGGGCCCACAUGUCACUGUAAAUUAAAUUUUAUACUUUGGUUAUCUGUAUUACAGUAUGUAUGAAUUUAUUUAGCUUUUACGCUAUAAAAAUUAUUUAUCGGUAACUCUAUAAAUAUUGUUUUAUAAAAAAAUUGAAUAUUUU
This 1987-nucleotide long non-coding RNA is filed under the name Theobroma cacao (cacao). Its description in RNAcentral is "long non-coding RNA (TCAC_LNC001768)". The record is from RNAcentral. Lineage: Eukaryota; Viridiplantae; Streptophyta; Magnoliopsida; Malvales; Malvaceae.